UCCGAAUGGCACACACAAUCCAUGGGCUGCGGUCCAAACACUUAAGACACCCUCGUCCACUUACCCUCGCUUAAUGCCCUUAUGGUGAAGGGGAUUUCCCUCUUGAUGGGCGGUCCAAAUGAUUCGCCAAGCAAGGGAAGUUCGCAACGUAAGCCCCUCAGCCCUCGUUUUUAGUCAGCUUCGCGAGUGUACAAUUAUGUACACUCCGGGGCCUGAAACUCCCCACAAUUCAAUUUGCGACGAUUGUACAUGCGCUAAGAAGUCUGCGAAAACUUAAACAUCAAUGGAGAAGUCAACAUACAAGUAACAUUGGAAAGCUGGUGGUUCCUUUUAACAUGAGCCUUCACUAUUCCAAGGUGCUGGAGUACAGAGCCAAAACAACAAGAAGUGUCACUGUCCCAGUACUUUUGGAGCUCACUGUAUCUCUGUUAUCAGAUUCAAAAUCUGGCAGUUGCUCAAUGUAGCAUGACCAAGUAACCAACAGUGGUGACACUGACUCGAUUAAAGUGUUUGUGCGGGUGAGACCUCUGAUCCAUGAGACCAGCCUAACCACUGAUGGAUACCAAGGUCUCUGUCACCUCUCCGAACACCCUCUGCCUGCACAUCAAGCCGUUGCGCGGACAUUCACCUAUGACCAUGUUGCUGAUGUGGACGUCACUCAGGAUUCUGUAUUCCCGAGGUCUGUCUGAUUGCGACAACUUUCACUGAUGACCAACAGGGGGGGAGUACCUGUUGUUCCUCAUCAGCAAGGAGGUCGAAAGGUCUGGAAAGGCCAAGAGCUUCCUGUGCAAUCGCUCCUUCAUUGAGAUCUACAACGAGCAGGUUUAUGAUCUGCUGGACAGCGCUUCAGCCAACCUGUUCCUCAGAGAGAACAUCAAGAAGCGGGUGUUUGUGGAAGGGGCUGUAGAACAUUUUGUCACUUCAGCUGCUGAAGCUUACCAGGUGCUGUCAAUAGGCUGUGGCGUGUAAUAGGCGUGUGGCUUCUAUCUCCAUGAACAGGGAGUCAUCGCGGUCCUAUGCAGGCUUCACCAUGACUCUGCAGUCCAAGGAGGCUGCUGGAGGUGGUGAACAUCUGCACAUCCCAGCUGAACUUGGUGGACCUGGCUGGGUUGGAGAGGCAGAGAGAGAGACACACACACACACACGCACGCGCACACACACACGCACACACACACACGCACGCACACACACACGCACACGCACACACACACACACACACACACACAGAGGGUUCCAGACUCAAGGUGAUGCAGGAGUACUGUCCGCUGACUGAACAUUCACAGCACACAACAAACCCUUUAGAAGGCUAAUUUCCACCGUGAAUCUGUUAUUGUGUAUACUCAUUUGUUAUAUUUUUAUCACUCCUCUGAGAUCAACCCCCUCUUUUCUCCUCUUUCAAGAGGCAAGCAGCAUCAACCACUCCCUCGUGAUCAUGGCACUGGUGGAUGAGUCCAAUGGGAAGAGCAGGCAUAUCUGCUACAGGGACUUCAAACUCCCCUUCUUGCUUUGGGACUCUCUUGGAUAUAAUGCUAAGACCUAGAUUAUAGCCAAUGUGCACCCAAGUGCUUUGGGGAAACUGAAAUCAAAACAAGGCCCUGAUCAACGAAGACAUGCAUGGGAACGUGAGGCAGCUACAGGCUGAGGUGGGAGUGGGAGCAGCCCCUGGAGCAGCAGCGGUCCCUGCAGGAUGCCUUUGACCAGAUCCAUGCCGAGGCCAAGUUUGAGGCAGACCAGUCCAGGCAGCAGCUAGAGGACAACCAGCAGGACAUCAUAGCUCAGCAGGCCCAAAUCAAUGUCAGUCAGCUCCUUUUUAAACCAACCAAGCCCGCUUCUCUGUUAAGGACAUUCAGAGCCUACCUGUCUCAUUUGUAUGACAUUACAGUUUAACCCCUAUGGAGGAUUGAGUGUGAUUAGUUUUUAUUGAUGAAUAUGUUGGUUGAAUUGUAGGAAUUGACAAAAGCUCUUCAGUCUGAAAGAACACACAAACCAAUAUGACCCCCCAUUUGAGAGAGGCUAGAGAGAGCACUUUAGAGUGAGUUGUAUAAAGGCAUAUUUUCUAUUUGUGCAUGAUGAGACCUUUUUGAAGUGUAUUUUAAAUGUUUUGUUGACAUGUUUGAUUUGUUUCUCCCUAGAGAGCUUGUUCAGAAUAUGGAGCAGAAUGUAGUGCUAAAGAAGCAAGUGUCUGACUGGACUACACAAAACCAAAAACAAACCUGUCAUUCAUUCAUUGUUAUUGUGUACAUGGUGGUUAAUGUAGUGUUUUAUUUAUAUUUCUUAGAAAUUGUUAUCUCUAGUAUGUGUUUUUAGUUUUGUCAAAUACAGGUGAACUAUUUGACAUAAUUGGAUCUUAAUCGCCAAUCAACUGUAAUUGGCCCGGCCUUUGUUUGUAUUUUUACUUUGAAAGACUUCUAAUAUGGCAAGCCUUGAACCAAAUCUGACAACUGCCAAUGGGACCAUAUCCAGCCUUGAGAAAAACUGAUCAACCAGUCCAGGGACCUCUGCAGUAAGCUGGGCCAGAAGGAUCAGGGCCUUGCCAUGCUGUCUGCAGGUGUCAAGGACCUUACGGAUAUGUACAAUCUCCUUAGCCGAUGUGAGCAAGACUUUUAAACAGGUGAACAUUCACAGACCAGGACGUGUACUCAGAGCAUGCGCGGACCACCUGG
Non-coding RNA from Oncorhynchus mykiss (rainbow trout), 2663 nucleotides. Lineage: Eukaryota; Metazoa; Chordata; Actinopteri; Salmoniformes; Salmonidae. The record is from RefSeq and is a predicted model, not a curated record.